CCUACGGGCGGCAGCAGUGAGGAAUAUUGGUCAAUGGUCGGGAGACUGAACCAGCCAAGCCGCGUGAGGGAUGAAGGUACAGAGUAUCGUAAACCUCUUUUGUCAGGGAACAAAGGCGGGGACGUGUCCCCGGAUGAGUGUACCUGAAGAAACAGCAUCGGCUAACUCCUUGCCAGCAGCGGCGGUAAUACGGAGGAUGCGAGCGUUAUCGGAAUUUAUGGGGUUAAAGGGGUGGGCAGGCGGUCUGUAAAGUCGGCGGUAAAAGCCCGGGGAUCAACCCCGGCCCGCAGUUGAAACUGGGAGUCUCGAGUUGGAGAGAAGUAGGCGGAAUGCGCGGUGUAGCGGUAAAAUGCAUAGAUAUCGCGCAGAACUCCGAUUGCGAAGGCAGCAUGCCGGCUCCACACUGACGCUGAGGCACGAAAGCGUGGGUAUCGAACAGGAUUAGAUACCCGAGUAGUC
This 459-nucleotide ribosomal RNA is filed under the name uncultured bacterium. RNAcentral's name for it is "partial 16S ribosomal RNA". It matches the Rfam family "Bacterial small subunit ribosomal RNA", at positions 338 to 795 of the family's 1533-position model. The record is from RNAcentral.